GGUCUCGUGGCCUAAUGGAUAAGGCGUCGGUCUUCGGAACCGAAGAUUGCAGGUUCGACCCCUGCCGGGAUCA
This 73-nucleotide transfer RNA is filed under the name Micromonas commoda. RNAcentral's name for it is "tRNA-Arg (TCG) (tRNA-Arg-TCG-1-1)". It matches the Rfam family "tRNA". Rfam says of the family: Transfer RNA (tRNA) molecules are approximately 80 nucleotides in length. Their secondary structure includes four short double-helical elements and three loops (D, anti-codon, and T loops). The record is from Rfam by way of RNAcentral. Lineage: Eukaryota; Viridiplantae; Chlorophyta; Mamiellophyceae; Mamiellales; Mamiellaceae.